This 3471-nucleotide long non-coding RNA is filed under the name Volvox carteri. RNAcentral's name for it is "long non-coding RNA (VCAR_LNC002955)". Lineage: Eukaryota; Viridiplantae; Chlorophyta; Chlorophyceae; Chlamydomonadales; Volvocaceae. The record is from RNAcentral.
GAAUAUUUCAACGAUUACUCUUGACAAUAACUGUUAAUUCGUUAAUGAUUCGACUCGAGUUUUGUACAUGUUAUGAGUUUCGUCACAUGUCUCGAACAUGGCGGUUGUUCGCAGCAAACCCUUAGAAUACUUCAACGAUUACUCUUGACAAUAACUGUUAUUUCGUUAAUGAUUCGACCCGAGUUUCGUACAUGUUACGAGUUUCGUCACAUGUCUCGAACAUGGCGGUUGUUCGUAGCAAACCUAAUGGGCUGGGGCCCCGGGGCCCCACCGACAUUAUCCUAGUACGGCAGGACCAUGGUAGGGAAUGUCCGGCAGGUAGGCCGAGAUAUAAGCUACCCGGGCGGGGUGCACUGGCCAGACACUGAAGUAUCACGAAUACUAGGUGUUCGGAGUUCAAGUCUCCGCUGCCGCCAUAUAGAUUGUUUUUGUAUACGCGUCUAUGCAGACUAGUGCUUGCCUCGGCGAGGACUGUCAACUCAACGCUUCCGGGUAACAGGCUGUUGGGAGUUAGAGAUUGAUCAACGUCAUGACCAACCUAACAGCUGUGAGCACACAGCACGCACCUGCAGGCUUUGUGACUGCAGGGCGGUUCAAGGCGAAAUGCAUGCCUUUGUGAAAUGCCCGGUGUACACUAGUACACGGGCUAAGUACGAACAUGACCUCGCGUUUCAAGGGUUCAACGUGCACACGAUUUCACUGAGGCCCCACCCCUGGCACUAGCCAGGUUCCCCUCGGAAGUCUGGGAGACCCGGCACGUUGCUCUAUGGCGCUUCAUAUGCUCAAGUGGACGAGGGAGGACAAUGAUGGUCCACCAUGUAACUGCACUUCAAACGAUUUACCGUCCAUGGGCACGCCAGCUUUUAUGGACAACCCCGCACUUGUAUGGAACUUGUAACACACUCAAACACAUACAAAGACAGACACACAGACACACCCACCCACCCAUUUCAGUCAAACACACACACACACACAGACAGACAGACACACGGACAGACAAACAGAGACAGACAAAAGGAGAGACACANNNNNNNNNNNNNNNNNNNNNNNNNNNNNNNNNNNNNNNNNNNNNNNNNNUCUCCGAGCUUAAGUUUUCCCAAAGCUCUCAGCCCAGUGCAGAGAGACUGUACGUCCUGUACUUGAUCAAGUACUGCACAUACAGUCUCUCUGCACUGGGCUGUGAGCUUUGGAAAAUAUAAAAGAUACCCGUGGGAGCAUUUNUUAGUCAUGAAGCUUCAGACUUAAGUCAGACUCUUCAUCUAUCUUCAUCUAGCUAUCCAUGCCUACGUACCUAAUCUAUCGAGAUAGACAGACAAACAGACAGAUGGGUAGUUGUAUACAAACAGACAGACAGACAGGCAGACACAAGCAGGUGAUGUUGGGGUAACAAAAACACACAGACAACCACACAAUCACAGCACUGUUGGGGCACAUGGUGGAGUUGGGGUAACAUGAAAACAUGCACACACACAGACAGAGAGAGAGAGACACACACACACACACACACACAGAGAGAGAGAGACACACACACACACACACAGACACACACACACACACAGAGAGACACACACACACAUAGACACACACACACACACAGAGAGAGACACAUACACGCACACAAGCACACAGAGAGAGAGAGACACACACACAUAGAUACACACACAGAGUCUCACACACACACAGAGUCUCACACACACAGUCACACACACAUACACGCACACAGUCACACACACACAGUCUCACACAUACAUGUACACACACAUUGUAGCAAGCUACAUUUCCCAUAGAAUAUUUCAACGAUUACUCUUGACAAUAACUGUUAAUUCGUUAAUGAUUCGACUCGAGUUUUGUACAUGUUAUGAGUUUCGUCACAUGUCUCGAACAUGGCGGUUGUUCGCAGCAAACCCUUAGAAUACUUCAACGAUUACUCUUGACAAUAACUGUUAUUUCGUUAACGAUUCGACCCGAGUUUCGUACAUGUUACGAGUUUCGUCACAUGUCUCGAAUAUGGCGGUUGUUCGUAGCAAACCUAAUGGGCUGGGGCCCCGGGGCCCCACCGACAUUAUCCUAGUACUGCAGGACCAUGGUAGGGAAUGUCCGGCAGGUAGGCCGAGAUAUAAGCUACCCGGGCGGGGUGCACUGGCCAGACACUGAAGUAUCACGAAUACUAGGUGUUCGGAGUUCAAGUCUCCGCUGCCGCCAUAUAGAUUGUUUUUGUAUACGCGUCUAUGCAGACUAGUGCUUGCCUCGGCGAGGACUGUCAACUCAACGCUUCCGGGUAACAGGCUGUUGGGAGUUAGAGAUUGAUCAACGUCAUGACCAACCUAACAGCUGUGAGCACACAGCACGCACCUGCAGGCUUUGUGACUGCAGGGCGGUUCAAGGCGAAAUGCAUGCCUUUGUGAAAUGCCUGGCGUACACUAGUACACGGGCCAAGUACGAACAUGACCUCGCGUUUCAAGGGUACAACGUGCGCACGAUUUGACUGAGGCCCCACCCCUGGCACUAGCCAGGUUCCCCUCGGAAGUCUGGGAGACCCGGCACGUUGCUCUAUGGCGCUUCAUAUGCUCAAGUGGACGAGGGAGGACAAUGAUGGUCCACCAUGUAACUGCACUUCAAACGAUUUACCGUCCAUGGGCACGCCAGCUUUUAUGUACAACCCCGCACUUGUAUGGAACUUGUAACACUACAGACAGACAGAGACAGACCGACAGACAGAGACAGGCAGACAGACAGACAGACAGACAGACAGACAGACGUCCUUGGUGGAGUCCCAUGGUGGAGUACUCCUCAGGCUACAUCAACGCUUGUGGCACCAGCUCGAUUUCUUCUCUCUCUCUGUCUCUUCUCUCUCUUCUCUCUUUCUGUCUGUGUGUGUAAACACUCAUGUGGUACACACACACGCCCCCCAUGUACACACAAGCAGGCGAUGUUGGGGUAACAAUAAAACACACAACCACCCACACACAACCUCACACGCACACACAUGACUGUUGGGGUACAUGGUAGUGUUGGGGUAACAUGAAACACACGCAAUCACAGUCCUGAUGGGGCACAUGAUGGGGUUGGGGUAACAUGAAAACAUGCACACACACGGCCACAGAACUAUUCGGGUAUAUGUUGGUGUUGGGGUAACAUAAGACACAGAGACACACAGACAGACAGAGACAGAGAGACACAAACUCACACACACAGAGUCACACAGAGUCACACAGAGUCACACACAGUCACACACAGAGGCACAGAGACACACAUACAUAAACAGAGACACACACAGUCAAACGCACACAAAGACAGACACACACAGUCAAACACACACUAAGACAGAGACACAUACAUACACACAAAGACAGAGACACACACACACACACACACAUACACACAUACACACAUACACACAGACAUACUCACACACAUAAACCUGCCUGUCAUGCAUUAUUCUUCUACAUCAUAUCCUGUCAGCCAAACAUC